Molecule: transfer RNA, 72 nt
Filed under: Thermosynechococcus vestitus BP-1
Lineage: Bacteria; Bacillati; Cyanobacteriota; Cyanophyceae; Acaryochloridales; Thermosynechococcaceae
Also listed under: 44 other names
Description: tRNA-Asn (GTT) (tRNA-Asn-GTT-1-1)
Rfam family: tRNA
About the family: Transfer RNA (tRNA) molecules are approximately 80 nucleotides in length.
Source: Rfam by way of RNAcentral
UCCUCAGUAGCUCAGCGGUAGAGCGGUCGGCUGUUAACCGAUUGGUCGCUGGUUCGAAUCCAGCCUGGGGAG